UGGAUCGAUGAUUAUUGUUAUUGAUAGAUGUGGUAAGAGAUUCUUCCUGAUGCUGAGUAGCCACAUAGCAUAUCUGGCCUCUACAGAUGAUCUGCUCGAAGCUUCGAAUAGAUUGUCCUUCUCGAGAGUGCUAACUUAAGAUGAAGGAUCUGGAUGGCUGAUGGAGACCCCUUUCUUUAGAUCAAAUGAAUACCUCUAGAUC
RNAcentral lists this long non-coding RNA (202 nucleotides) under Elaeis guineensis (African oil palm). RNAcentral's name for it is "long non-coding RNA (EGUI_LNC058841)". The record is from RNAcentral. Lineage: Eukaryota; Viridiplantae; Streptophyta; Magnoliopsida; Arecales; Arecaceae.